GAGGAAGAUGAGCUUUUAAGAGAGGACAUGUAGACUGUUCCCACCACCCGAACCCAUGACAAAAUGGGGAAGGAGGGAAUAAUGGUAUAAAAGGAAAAGAGACUGUAGAGGAGUCCAGUCCAAGAGUAGAGGAGGGGGGCGGAGGUGCAGAGGGCCAAUCGGAGUCCGACGGACAGAGACAUCGCCUUGAAUGCCCAUUUACUCUGACAGGCAGCCACCGGCCACAGGGCAGAGAAAUGGAAAAGGAGAGGAGGAAAAAGAGAACCCGAUGUUCUUCACUGUAGAGGGUCUUUUAAGAUGCCCGUGGCAUUUCCAGUAGCAAUCAAUGAUGGGAGGAGGAUGGUGAGCAUUUUCCUUCAAAAUUUCAGCAUAUUCUUCUUACCAUGGAGAAUCACGAGUUUUGCAUCGGAUUAACCUUAUCCUGAUACACACACAACACAGGUAGUGUUGUUGAUGAUGGGAGCAACGACAGAAUUCAUGAUGGGGAUCAACUACCGCUGGUAUGCUUGGAACAUAGUGUGGCUGACUUGGGUUGGUCAUAUACACUGGAAAGAUACAAGGGGGAACCUGUUGCAGGGGACAGAAACAAGGAGUGUUAAGAUCUGGGAAAAAAGAUUUGGUGGUGCGUUGAACAAGGAAGCAGCAUGAUUGGAUUGGGAAGGACAGUCCAUGUUCCUGUGUGGCUGCCUGGCUAGCUGGCUGGCUGGCUGGCUGGUUGCGGAGGAUGCCACUUCCCCCUUCCCUACAUUGCUGCCAUCGGAGGAUAUGUUGCUUUCCCCAUUUCGGCUUUUGGCUGCCGCAUCAAAAUUUCCUCAAAAAAUGGUUGUCAGAGAACUAGUGAUUUCUCCAGGUCGAGAGCAAUUGAAUGGACGCUGACACAUAGUUUAACCUCAGCAAGGAACUGUUCAU
Molecule: long non-coding RNA, 909 nt
Filed under: Musa acuminata (dwarf banana)
Lineage: Eukaryota; Viridiplantae; Streptophyta; Magnoliopsida; Zingiberales; Musaceae
Description: long non-coding RNA (MACU_LNC001224)
Source: RNAcentral